AAAUUGAAGAGUUUGAUCAUGGCUCAGAUUGAACGCUGGCGGCAGGCCUAACACAUGCAAGUCGAACGGUAACAGGAAGCAGCUUGCUGCUUUGCUGACGAGUGGCGGACGGGUGAGUAAUGUCUGGGAAACUGCCUGAUGGAGGGGGAUAACUACUGGAAACGGUGGCUAAUACCGCAUAACGUCGCAAGACCAAAGAGGGGGACCUUCGGGCCUCUUGCCAUCAGAUGUGCCCAGAUGGGAUUAGCUGGUAGGUGGGGUAACGGCUCACCUAGGCGACGAUCCCUAGCUGGUCUGAGAGGAUGACCAGCCACACUGGAACUGAGACACGGUCCAGACUCCUACGGGAGGCA
This 353-nucleotide ribosomal RNA is filed under the name Salmonella enterica subsp. houtenae serovar 44:z36,[z38]:-. Its description in RNAcentral is "bacterial SSU rRNA". It matches the Rfam family "Bacterial small subunit ribosomal RNA", at positions 1 to 350 of the family's 1533-position model. The record is from RNAcentral. Lineage: Bacteria; Pseudomonadati; Pseudomonadota; Gammaproteobacteria; Enterobacterales; Enterobacteriaceae.